Molecule: ribosomal RNA, 247 nt
Filed under: uncultured bacterium
Lineage: Bacteria
Description: partial 16S ribosomal RNA
Rfam family: Bacterial small subunit ribosomal RNA
Source: RNAcentral
GAUCCUGGCUCAGGACGAACGCUGGCCGCGUGCUUAACACAUGCAAGUCGAACGAGAGCGUAGAGAAAGCUUGCUUUUUCUACAAUCUAGUGGCAAACGGGUGAGUAACGCGUAAACAACCUGCCCUACGGAUGGGGACAACAGCUGGAAACGGCUGCUAAUACCGAAUACGUUCCGAAAGUCGCAUGACUAUCGGAAGAAAGGAUGGCCUCUAUUUAUAAGCUAUCGCCGGAGGAGGGGUUUGCGU